RNAcentral lists this ribosomal RNA (254 nucleotides) under uncultured bacterium. Its description in RNAcentral is "partial 16S ribosomal RNA". It matches the Rfam family "Bacterial small subunit ribosomal RNA", at positions 524 to 777 of the family's 1533-position model. The record is from RNAcentral.
CACGUAGGGCGCGAGCGUUGUCCGGAAUUAUUGGGCGUAAAGAGCUCGUAGGCGGCCUGUUGCGUCCGCUGUGAAAGCCCGGGGCUUAACCCCGGGUCUGCAGUGGAUACGGGCAGGCUAGAGGUAGGUAGGGGAGAAUGGAAUUCCCGGUGUAGCGGUGAAAUGCGCAGAUAUCGGGAGGAACACCGGUGGCGAAGGCGGUUCUCUGGGCCUUACCUGACGCUGAGGAGCGAAAGCGUGGGGAGCGAACAGGG